Molecule: small RNA, 28 nt
Filed under: Bombyx mori (domestic silkworm)
Lineage: Eukaryota; Metazoa; Arthropoda; Insecta; Lepidoptera; Bombycidae
Description: ovarian small RNA-15493
Source: RNAcentral
GACCGAGAUCUGGACGGCGCCUGUGCAC